Molecule: long non-coding RNA, 5532 nt
Organism: Mesocricetus auratus (golden hamster)
Lineage: Eukaryota; Metazoa; Chordata; Mammalia; Rodentia; Cricetidae
Exons: 5
Source: RefSeq, a predicted model, not a curated record
GGUGGUGAGGGCGGCAGGUGCGGGGGCGCAGCAGCCCUGGCCAAGCCCAGAGACCGGAGGACACCUCCCUCCCAGCGCUCUAACACGGGCAACUUCCCACUCCCGGGGACGGAGUUUCUCCGUUGCCCACGGACAUCCAGGAGGCGGUGUGGAGGGCAAGCAGGGUAACCCCCACAUCUAUCCAAGGGGAGCCAGAGGAGCCAGCAGGUCCGGACUCGCUAAGGGGGCUCCUCGCGAGGCCUCCCACGCACAGGUAGACAGCUCUUGCUUGACCCCCUUCAGGAAGACUUGGGCCAACCUGUGCUGGGGCAGGCUGAGAAGCAGACAUCCAAUCAGCAACCCCUCAGUGUUCUCCCAGCUGGGACCUCUCUGCUCCCUGUGGCUGGAGCCUCGGGGACUUCCAGGUAGGGUGGGAAAGACCAGGCUGUUGGAGAGUGGGCUCCUAGGAAGGUUUUCUACCUUCAUUCUGGGGAACUUAGGAAGGGUCACUGUAGCUGUUUAAGACCACGGAGGCUGCAGGGGGCUUGGUCUGGACCCCUCUACCUUUCUUCAUCGUACCAUGGUUGUCUGUUGAAGCUGACCAGAUUCCAGGCCUUAAGCCUUAUCAGAGGUGCCCACUAACAGCAUCUUCCAGAGGGCUCCUGGUGAGUUGAUGGGGGUUUGGGUGUGCGGGUGCCGGGGAAUCCAGGACCUAGGAGAUCCCUGGGAUGACUGAAUCCCAGUCAUAGCAGGGGACCGUGAAAUCCUCACAGAGUACAAGAGGAGCCGGAUUCCAGCUGCCCCACACACCAGGCAGAGCACGCAACCGCUCGGCUCUCUGCCAGCCUCCGCGUAAGAAUGGGUGCCCCUGGGAUUCCUGUCACCUGCCUGCCUGCAUCCCUGGGCUCUGCCUCUUUCCCCUUCCCUCCUCCACCCUCUUUCUCUCCAGGUCCUGGCUCUGCUUCCUUGAACCCAUCUGCAGAUGCAAGCCCCAGCCCAGCCCCCAGGGAGAGGCUGCACCUUCAUGAACCUUUCCACAGCUGUCUCCUUUGGAUCUUUUUGCGGUCUGGGCUUGCUGUUCUCUCGACAGUAGUCAGGAAGCCCUUACCCCAAAAAGUAUCUACGGGAGGCUCGGUCGACAGGGGGCCCCCAAGGGCUCCAGGUGAGUCAUAUCAUACUCAAGAAGACCAGGUGACCCCUGGGUGACCACAGGUCACAGAGGUUCUCAGCCUUCCUAAUGCUGUGACUCUUUGGUGCAGUUCCUCAUGGUGUGGUGACCCCAACUGUAGAAUUGUUUUCGUUGCUACUUUAUGACUGUAAUUUUGCUACUGCUACGAAUUGUAAUGCAUAUAACUGAUAUGCAUGAUAUCUGACAUGUGACCCCAAAGAUUGAGAAACGCUGCCCUAAUGCUUUCUGUGCCAUAGUCACUCCUUGCCUGGUAGGCAUGUUUAGUGGGAGUGACUCCAGCCUAGGCCAGACAAUGCUGCUCCAGUGGAAGCUGUUGGCCACUAUGGGCACUCCUGGUAGAACCGUCACUCGGUAUGCUCAGCCCUCCCUGUGUGUGUGUGUGGAGUAGACAGGGCCUGGCUGAUGACUCCUGCGCAGAGAGACCUGUGACUGGGAACACCACAGUUGAUCCGGUGGAUCCCAGCAGCUGUGUGCCGUGAAGAUGGUGAGCUUCUUGCCAGGAUGAGGUGUCUGCCGUCUACCCUCCAUCCUUCAAAUGAAAUCCUUGACUGCUCAGGUAGACAGAGUGGAUACCAUUGCUUACUGCUGGUUCAGAGCCCUCUAGAGGGAGGAGGGGGGAUUGCGCACACUGGAGAAAAGGGGCCGACUGGGGGAAAUCUAAGUCAUUGUCCUUAGAGGGGGCCACUUGGGUGCACUGAGGAGGGUUCACAGGCAAGGGGUGAAUUAAAAUCCAGGGGAUCUUUCUAAAGGUGAUGCCCUGUUGGGAUAAAGAGCAGAGGACCCACAUAACGUAAAUUUAAAAUCGCCAAAGGUAAUAAGGAUUACUCCCACCCAGCCCCAGACUCUGCACCCCUUGGGAUGGAACUGGACUGCAGGUGGCUUCUGCUAGUUUGACAGAGUUGGGGAUGCCUCUGCAGCUGUGGUGAGGUCACAGCAGGUCAGGGAUGGCCACAUGGGUACCCAUCUCAUUCCCCUCCUCCCCCAUCCCAGGGGUUGGGGGCAGCCCAAGGUGAGGAGUACGAUGUCAAUCUCAUUGUCAACAAAGCCACCAAUCUUGGGAAACAAACCCCCUAGAAGAUCCCAUCCCUGUGCAGAAGCCACUGGAGGCAAAUCUAGGGAGACAUGUGAGCUGUGGCCGGGCGUGUGAACCUCUCUGAUUUCAAAGGUGCCAAGGGAUCCUGAGUGGAUCUGGGAGUGUGUGUGGGUGCGUUGUGGCUGUUUAGGAAGGAGAGCCGAGUUCACAGGUCAGAAGCGGGGACUGUAGGUGUGUGGAACAAAUGCCCGCCUUGGAGACAAGCAGAUGUCAGCGAAGAGAGAAAGAAAGAACUCCGACAGGCAGACGUCAGCGAAGAGAGAAAGAACUCUGACAGGCCGUCUUACAGGGCUGACUCAUCCUGGGACCACGGGUCCUGAUGAAGCCUGCCUUCCCAGUUCUGACCCCAAACAAAGUAGGUUUGCUGGGCCACCAGCCCCAGCGUGCGGGUGGGAACGGAGUUCGUGGCUCAAGGGCGGCAUCGUGUGGUCAUCGUGGGGUAGUUCACCUUACAGACUCCAUUAUGAGUGACCCUGGAGGACAGCAGUCUUUCCCAGAUUAGAGCAAAGCAGUUCCAUCCCAAGGGAUCCCAAGGGGUGCAGAGUCUGGGACUGGGUGGGGGUAAGCCGGAAAGUCUGCUAAUGUGAGGCGACGUCCAGUGAGGUUGUUUACAGCUUGCUCAUCACCUAGGAUAAAUCACCUCUCAAAACGGGUUUCUGGGUCUACAGCCUGGGCAUUUGACUGCCCCCAAUCCCCCCCCCCCCGCGCGCUCUUCAAUCGUCUCAUCUCAAGUCACAGUUAUGCUCCUUCAGGGAGCUGUUCUCAUCAGAAGGCAUCUUUCAGAAAAGAUUUCAGCUCCAAUGCAUGGCCUUCUGAGACUCUGAGAUCUGGCGUCAGAGCCCAGCCUUCCAGGACUAGCUGUGUGCUCCUGAGAAAGCCCCUAACCCUUCCAGCGCUUCCGCUUCCUCCUCCCCAAAACAGGGUGAGAACGCUCGCCUUACAGGACCGUGGGUCCCGAGGCUGGGCCUAAAGCAUGUCAGCUCCGAGGGGUGUCUGCUUGACCACCUGUGUCUGGAGGCUUGCUGCUCGGGACACAGUGGGGGAAGGUGGCCACCUCUGCGGGGAGCCUGGGGCGUGGGGUACGGGACGGGAGGCGGGUGAUGAGACCUGAAGAAGGCAGAGGGCGGUGUUCUGCUGCAGCUCCCGAAAGUUCCGGAACAGGGACUGGGAGGGAUCGCUGUCUAGCUGGAGAAGUGUGGGGGGGGGUUGUCAUCAAGCCUGGGGAGGGAAAGAAAACGAGCAGAGAAGCUCAGGAGGGGCCAAGAGAAAUCAGGACGGAAAGGGAAAAUGGAGAGGCGACAUGAGAGAUCUCUCUGAUGGCUAAUAUCCCCUCUCAAGAGGUUCAGGGUGCUACUGGGGCACCUGGGUAGGGUGCGCCCUCUCCCAGGAAGCUGAAGGCUGGGGUCUGUUCCGUGUGGGCAUAUGCUGAUAAAGAGGCCUUGGGUCAAUCACCUUCCUCCUCUAGACAUCCCCAUCGGUAUAAUCUGAGUGUGUAGAGCAUCUCAGAUUCCACCGGCUCCCUCCCAGACUCACCCCUCCUAACAGGCAAGCAGAUCUAGGGCCCCAUGCUAACACAAGAAUGGGAGCUGUUCCAGCAUGGGAUGGGUUUGUGGGUAUGAAGGAGGGCGCCUGAGAUCUGGGAGGAAGAGGCUGGAGAAAUUAGCAGUAGUGAAGAAACCUAAGGACUUCCCUGAAGUUCAGCUGGAACACAUCAAAGGUGGCUGGAGCUAUCUCUGCCCCUUAGCUUAGCAACACGUGACCCCGCAUGCCAACAUGACAUCAGCAGCUCCGUUCAUCUGCCCCACCUGUGAGCCUGCCCUCCCCUCCUCCAGCCGCAAAGCCUCUCUGUUGCUCCCAAAGGUGGCCUGGUCCAGCAGGAUCUGGGGGAGUGACAGUGGGAACUUCAAAGGACUCAGGACUCCCCGGAUGAAGCUGGCAUGGAGGGGACAGGCGUCAUCGGAGCUUUCGCUUUUGCAUCUGUGCCCUGAGUCCUGGGGCAGCUGCUGACCCCAGUCAGACAGCAUCUCUGCUCUGGAAUCCUGCCUCCCUCCCUGUCCUUUCCUCCCCUCCUCUUCUUUUCUUCCCCUUUCUUUUCCAGAGUCUGCACCCUGUCCAGCCAGGAAUCAUCUCAGAUCUGAUUCUGCGCUUCAAGAGUUCCUGGGAGCUGCAGGUGGAAUCCAGAAACAUCAUAAGAAGCCUCUGCUCACACGGUUCCCUCUUCAGCUUUGGUGGAAUCAUGAGAAAGGAGCCCAGAUGCUGACACUUGGAAAUGGGAGUUGCUGGAUGCCUAAGGAUGCGAUUCUACAGAGAAAGAAGAAAGGCACACUCCUUUUAACGUCUGAAUAACUGGACAUCACAAGAGAACCACGGUUCACGCCCUCGCCUCCCAGUGGACAGUCGGCUUGCCACCGUCCGGAUACAGCUUGUUCCUUCUGAAACUCAUGUUGAAAUCUAUUGCCCUUGUGUCAGUGUUUGGCGGGGGCCUCCAUCCUCAUGAAUGGCUUAAUCCAUUCAUGGGUUGAUAGAUUAGCCCCAAAAUGACUUCCUUAUAAAAGCGAGUUCUCACUUGGAGGAGUAAUGCAUGCUAUAAGCUCAGGACCCUAAGUUUGAAGCCAGGGUUAGCGACUAACUGUCUUAGUCACUGUUCUCUUGCUGCGAUGACUCCAUGGCCAAAGCAACUCUUACAAGAGAAAACAUUUAACGGAGGUCUUGCUUACAGUUUCCGAGGUUGAGUUCAUUAUCAUCAUGGCUGGGAGCCUGAUAGCUUGCGUGAAGGCUUGGGGCUGGAGAAGCUGAGAGCUCCACCUCGAUCCACAGGCAGAAGAACAGAGAAUGGGCUUGGAAGAGACUUCGAAACCCCAAGCUCGUGCUCCCCCCCUCCCCGCCAGUGACACACUUCCUCCAAGGCCACACCUCCUAAUCCUUCUAAUCCUAUCAAAGAGUUCCACUCCCUAGUGACUAAGGAUUCAAAUAUAUGAAUUUGUUGGAGGGCAUUCUUAUUCAAAUCGCCAGAGCCAUUUAGCAAGAUCUACCUCAAGAGCGGAUGGGAGAACCAGGGGGCCAGGCUGACCCAGGAUAAGGAGUUUUGAAGGAGACAAGGCAAAACCUCUUUGCUUCCAGAGUCUACUUUCAGGAAACGUAACAGAAUGUGACAGUUUACCAAUAUAAUGUGUAUUUUCAGACCCUUACCAGGGGACAAGCAGGUGUCAGAAACAUACUUUUGUACACCCCAGCCUCCAGAACUGAAAGCUAAAUAAACCUGUAUUCUUUA